UGGGCGUAAGCGCGCGCAGGCGGUUUCUUAAGUCUGAUGUGAAAGCCCACGGCUCAACCGUGGAGGGUCAUUGGAAACUGGGGAACUUGAGUGCCGAAGAGAAAAGCGGAAUUCCACGUGUAGCGGUGAAAUGCGUAGAGAUGUGGAGGAACACCAGUGGCGAAGGCGGCUUUUUGGUCUGUAACUGACGCUGAGGCGCGAAAGCGUGGGGAGCAAACAGGAUUAGAUACCCUGGUAGUCCACGCCGUAAACGAUGAGUGCUAAGUGUUAGAGGGUUUCCGCCCUUUAGUGCUGCAGCUAACGCAUUAAGCACUCCGCCUGGGGAGUACGGUCGCAAGACUGAAACUCAAAGGAAUUGACGGGGGCCCGCACAAGCGGUGGAGCAUGUGGUUUAAUUCUAAGUUACGCGAAGAACCUUACCAGGUCUU
Molecule: ribosomal RNA, 428 nt
Filed under: Priestia flexa
Lineage: Bacteria; Bacillati; Bacillota; Bacilli; Caryophanales; Bacillaceae
Description: bacterial SSU rRNA
Rfam family: Bacterial small subunit ribosomal RNA
Source: RNAcentral